Molecule: long non-coding RNA, 1385 nt
Organism: Clupea harengus (Atlantic herring)
Lineage: Eukaryota; Metazoa; Chordata; Actinopteri; Clupeiformes; Clupeidae
Source: Ensembl
CUUUCGUUUUUUUCACCAAUGACUAAUACCUCUGUUUUAUCUUGGUUUAGCUGGAGAAAGUUUUGUGACAUCCAUACAUUUAUAUCAGAAAUGCAAUUUACCAAACAAUCAAUAGAGCUGUAGUUGUUGGGUGUUACAGAAAUAUAGAGCUGGGUGUCAUAUGCAUAGCUAUGAUAGUCGAUGUUGUGCCUCCUAAUUACACUACCAAGGGGUAGCAUGUAUAGACUGAAAAGUAAGGGCCCUAAAAUGGAUCCUUGAGGGACCCCACAGGUCAUACAAAUGUUUUUUGAGCUGUGGUCUCCGAGGGCGACAAAGUAUUCCCGGCCAGUUAGAUAGGUCCUAAACCAGUUUAGGACCGGACCAGUGAGGCCAACCCAAUUUUCAAGUCUAUCAAUAAGGAUAUUGUGAUCAACAGUAUCAAAGGCUGCGCUCAGAUCCAGAAGGGCCAAGACAGAUAGUUUUUUGGAGUCAGCAUUAAUCCUGAGAUAAUUUACAACCUUGACUAAUGCCGUUUCUGUGCUAUGAUUGGAACGAAAACCAGAUUGGAAGGUGUCAAAUGCACAGUUAGCAUCUAGGAAACUAUUUAACUGUUUAAAGACAAUUUUUCCAGGAUUUUGCUUAGAAAGGGAAGGUUAGAGAUGGGUCUAAAAUUAUUUAGAACUGAAGAGUCUAAAUUGCUUUUCUUCAGGAGGGGUCUCACCAGGGCAGUUUUAAGUUCUGAUGGGAAAAUACCUGUAAGCAGGGAACAGUUUAUAAUGGCUAGCGCUAGGACAAAAGGUGAGUUUAAAAGAAAAAAAGGAAGCUUGAGAGGCUAUUCUUGGUAAUUUUACUUGGAGUAUUUAAUGACCUGGUUUAUCUUUACUAGGCUAUUUUAUCAUCACAUCUUACUAUUGUCCAUAUUUGUUUAUUUGUGUUUCCUGGUAUAGUGCAAAGAGAAAUGAGCUUUACAAAGAGUUUGUGGAGUUCACAGACACAGACAAACUUAAGCUGCUCAGAUACUGCACAACGCGAUGGCUCAGCCUCCACACGUGCAUUCAAAGAAUGUUAAAUCAGUGGCCAGCUCUUCAGGCCUACUUCAACAGCUAUGAGGAUGAGACGAGUGUUAAAGUUAGGGAUCUGGCAGACUACCUCAAUGAUCCUGAGAUCAAAUUCGAUUUCCUGUUUCUGAGUGCUGCUCUCAAGCCAUUGGUUACAUUCAACACUGCCUUCCAGGGAGAGGGGGUGCUGAUACACAAACUACACAAUGAAAUGACAAGACUGGUGAAGAGGUAUUUGGGCUACAUUCUCCCAGCAAGAUUAAUUGCAAAUAUUCCAGUCAGAGAGGUGUCACUCAGUCAGGAACACCAGCUGAAAAAUGAGGAUCUCUUCAUUGGAGCUGAGGCCAG